UAGGGAAUCUUCCGCAAUGGGACGAAAGUCUGACGGAGCAACGCCGCGUGUGUGAAGAAGGUCUUCGGAUCGUAAAGCACUGUUGUUAGAGAAGAAUGCUUAUCAUAGGGAAUGAUGAUAGGGUGACGGUAUCUAACCAGAAAGCCACGGCUAACUACGUGCCAGCAGCCGCGGUAAUACGUAGGUGGCAAGCGUUUGUCCGGAUUUAUUGGGCGUAAAGGGAGCGCAGGUGGUGCCUUAAGCCUGAUGUGAAAGCCCACGGCUCAACCGUGGAGGGUCAUUGGAAACUGGGGCACUUGAGUGCAGAAGAGGAAAGCGGAAUUCCAUGUGUAGCGGUGAAAUGCGUAGAUAUAUGGAGGAACACCAGUGGCGAAGGCGGCUUUCUGGUCUGUAACUGACACUGAGGCUCGAAAGCGUGGGGAGCAAACAGGAUUAGAUACCCUGGUAGU
This 449-nucleotide ribosomal RNA is filed under the name uncultured Globicatella sp. RNAcentral's name for it is "bacterial SSU rRNA". It matches the Rfam family "Bacterial small subunit ribosomal RNA", at positions 355 to 794 of the family's 1533-position model. The record is from RNAcentral. Lineage: Bacteria; Bacillati; Bacillota; Bacilli; Lactobacillales; Aerococcaceae.